RNAcentral lists this ribosomal RNA (496 nucleotides) under uncultured bacterium. Its description in RNAcentral is "partial 16S ribosomal RNA". It matches the Rfam family "Bacterial small subunit ribosomal RNA", at positions 28 to 506 of the family's 1533-position model. The record is from RNAcentral.
GACGAACGCUGGCGGCGUGCCUAAUACAUGCAAGUUGAGCGCUGAAGGUUGGUACUUGUACCGACUGGAUGAGCAGCGAACGGGUGAGUAACGCGUGGGGAAUCUGCCUUUGAGCGGGGGACAACAUUUGGAAACGAAUGCUAAUACCGCAUAAAAACUUUAAACACAAGUUUUAAGUUUGAAAGAUGCAAUUGCAUCACUCAAAGAUGAUCCCGCGUUGUAUUAGCUAGUUGGUGAGGUAAAGGCUCACCAAGGCGAUGAUACAUAGCCGACCUGAGAGGGUGAUCGGCCACAUUGGGACUGAGACACGGCCCAAACUCCUACGGGGGGCAGCAGUAGGGAAUCUUCGGCAAAGGACGAAAGUCUGACCGAGCAACGCCGCGUGAGUGAAGAAGGUUUUCGGAUCGUAAAACUCUGUUGGUAGAGAAGAACGUUGGUGAGAGUGGAAAGCUCAUCAAGUGACGGUAAUUACCCAGAAAGGGACGGCUACCUACGU